RNAcentral lists this ribosomal RNA (950 nucleotides) under Microbacteriaceae bacterium 110602K2. RNAcentral describes it as "bacterial SSU rRNA". It matches the Rfam family "Bacterial small subunit ribosomal RNA", at positions 384 to 1345 of the family's 1533-position model. The record is from RNAcentral. Lineage: Bacteria; Bacillati; Actinomycetota; Actinomycetes; Micrococcales; Microbacteriaceae.
UGAUGCAGCAACGCCGCGUGAGGGACGACGGCCUUCGGGUUGUAAACCUCUUUUAGCAGGGAAGAAGCGAAAGUGACGGUACCUGCAGAAAAAGCACCGGCUAACUACGUGCCAGCAGCCGCGGUAAUACGUAGGGUGCAAGCGUUGUCCGGAAUUAUUGGGCGUAAAGAGCUCGUAGGCGGUUUGUCGCGUCUGCUGUGAAAUCCCGAGGCUCAACCUCGGGUCUGCAGUGGGUACGGGCAGACUAGAGUGCGGUAGGGGAGAUUGGAAUUCCUGGUGUAGCGGUGGAAUGCGCAGAUAUCAGGAGGAACACCGAUGGCGAAGGCAGAUCUCUGGGCCGUAACUGACGCUGAGGAGCGAAAGGGUGGGGAGCAAACAGGCUUAGAUACCCUGGUAGUCCACCCCGUAAACGUUGGGAACUAGAUGUGGGGACCAUUCCACGGUCUCCGUGUCGCAGCUAACGCAUUAAGUUCCCCGCCUGGGGAGUACGGCCGCAAGGCUAAAACUCAAAGGAAUUGACGGGGGCCCGCACAAGCGGCGGAGCAUGCGGAUUAAUUCGAUGCAACGCGAAGAACCUUACCAAGGCUUGACAUAUACGAGAACGGGCCAGAAAUGGUCAACUCUUUGGACACUCGUAUACAGGUGGUGCAUGGUUGUCGUCAGCUCGUGUCGUGAGAUGUUGGGUUAAGUCCCGCAACGAGCGCAACCCUCGUUCUAUGUUGCCAGCACGUAAUGGUGGGAACUCAUGGGAUACUGCCGGGGUCAACUCGGAGGAAGGUGGGGACGACGUCAAAUCAUCAUGCCCCUUAUGUCUUGGGCUUCACGCAUGCUACAAUGGCCGAUACAAAGGGCUGCAAUACCGCAAGGUGGAGCGAAUCCCAAAAAGUCGGUCCCAGUUCGGAUUGAGGUCUGCAACUCGACCUCAUGAAGUCGGAGUCGCUAGUAAUCGG